Molecule: ribosomal RNA, 373 nt
Filed under: uncultured bacterium
Lineage: Bacteria
Description: bacterial SSU rRNA
Rfam family: Bacterial small subunit ribosomal RNA
Source: RNAcentral
ACGUAGAAGGCGAACGUUAUCCGGAUUUACUGGGCGUAAAGAGGGUGUAGACUGUUCUUUAAGUCAGUUGUGAAAUCUCUCAACUCAAUUGGGAGACUGCAAUUGAUACUGGAGAGCUUGAGGGCAUCAGAAGAAAGCGGAAUUCACGGUGUAGCGGUGAAAUGCGUAGAUAUCGUGAGGAACACCAGUGGCGAAGGCGGCUUUCUAGGAUGCUCCUGACGUUGAGGCCCGAAAGUGUGGGGAGCGAAACGGAUUAGAUACCCGUGUAGUCCACACCCUAAACGUUGAAUACUAGGUAUAGGGGGUAUCGACCCUCUCUGUGCCGAAGCUAACGCUUUAAGUAUUCCGCCUGGGGACUACGGCCACAAGGCUA